ACCUACAUGUGGAACAAUGUUUUCACAGAAAAGCAUCUUUUAUCAGUUGAUGAACUUGGAAUUUGUUUAAUUCCACCUGUAUCAAAGAGGCUUGCUUGUGGGGAUUAUGGGAAUGGUGCAAUGGCUGAACCUUCACUCAUCUUCUCAACUGUAAGACUCUUUCUAGAGUCAAAGACACAAUCAGGUGGCAGUAGUAAUCAGUAAUUACUUUGUAUUUAGUGCUAGAGGAGUUGUUGGUUUUUAUUUUGUUCCAAAUGGACUGUUUGUUUGUUUGUUUGUUUUGUUCUUCUUUCUUUGUUUUUAUGGAGGUUGUUUUAAGGAUUGUGAGAAUUGAAUUUAUGUUGUUAAUCCUAGUUUGUGAUUUUGGCUACCACUUAAUUCGGUUGUUUAAUCUACACACACUUAUCCUUCAUUCAGCAUGAUGGAACUUUAUUGAAACAAGUUUGAUACUCCAUGUGAGGCACGGCUAGUUUAUAUGUUUUUUUUAAUAAAUAUUUGAUAAUUUUAUAUUGACAUAUAUUUAUCAUUUUGAAUCAGCAUAUUUUACCACAAUUAAAGAAAAUUUAAUUACUUUUUUAUGGUGCAAGUUAACCGGAAUGUUUUGGUUGGUUCUUGACUAAUGAAAUUAUACUUGAAUUCCACUCUUGUUAGGCAAUUACUCAUUCAUAAGAUAUAUAAUAGAAGUUGCAGACAAUUUAAUGGAGUAGUUAGUAUAUAGGUAAAUCUAUAGUUUUCUCUCUUUAUAGACGACCUGAUAUGUAUUAUACAUUUAUUUAAAUCCUUUUUCAAUUCUUAUUUUUUUAGCCAGGUGUUUUAUUAAAUACUAAAAACAAAUAUAAGUACUAUUCUAUUGUUGGGUAAGAUAAUAUGUAUCACUAUGUUAAUAAAUAACGAUAGAAAUAACAUUAGAAAGUCACUUUAUAUAGAAUCUCUAACUAAUACUUACUUCUAUUUUAAACUAUAAAUACAUUUUUAAUAGUCUGAUAUAAAAAUAGAGAUAAUUUUUUAUUUUAGAAUUAUAAAGUAAUGAGAAAUUUUUAAUUUGUCAAAUUUUUUUGUUAUCAUUUAUACCAUCACUACCAUCACUUAACUAAUACUCCCUCCGUCCCAGGAUAAAAGUUUUGGUGGAUUUUUCACGCAUAUUAAGAAGAGGAAUAAAAUAACAAAAUUAUUCAUAAUAAUGUCAUUAAAUAUGGAGAGAGAAUUAGAAUAAGAAAAGUAUGAGAUAUUUAAUGCUACGGGCAUAAUCGAAAAAAAUGUGUAAAAGUUUGGUUAUUAAAAGAAAGUGGACAUUUAACAUGAAACAACCCAAAAUAGUAAUAAAAACUUUUAUCCUGGGAGAGAGGACUAUUAAUUAUUAAGAAUACAUUUAAUAAUAUAAAUUAUAAAUCCCGUGGCUGACACGACACACACACACACAUCGAACUUGGGUGAUAAAAUGAGGGAGGCGAAAAUGUAUACAUACGCCCACUGCCCAACCAGCACAUGCGCAUGCACAUCAAAAUGUAGUAGAGGAGUGAGUAGUAGUAAUUGCACCUCAAUCAAAAAAUAGUGGAGGUCAUGGCCAAGCAUUGGCUUCAUUUACUAUUACGAAGGUAAAAAAAGUGAAAAUCUUGCUGAUUAUUACUACUAAACUCAAACUGUAACUGCCUAAAUUAAAAGAACAAAUCGACUUCACGGAACUUUAUACUAUUCCCUCCGUCUCAGGAUAAAAGUCCUUAUUAUUUCAUCUGUUCUAAAUUAUCUACUGUUUUAGCAAAAAAAAUUGUCCCACAAUAUCCGCUUUUUCAAAAUUUCAAUAUAUUUUUUCCCUUUAUUUUUCAAGUUUGCCCCUUUACCUUAAUUGUUGAUAGUCAUUACUGUCAUCCUCUCUCCACACAUAUAUAUGCUCAUACUUUCUCUCUUUGCAUACUAUUUGUCUAUUUAAUACACUCAUACUUUCUCUCUCUUCCUCUCUCCACACAUAUAUAUAUGCACUUAUACUUUCUCUCUCUGCAGACUUUUUAUCUAUUUAAUGCACUCAUACUUUCUCUCUCUUCCUCUCUACAGACUAUUUCCUGCACUCUUUUUUAAAUACCUUUUCCAUAUUUCCACCAAUAAGGGUAUUUUAGUAUUUUUAUCACACAUAUUGGUAUCUGUGUGGAACUCUAGAACAACAAAUAAUUUGGGACGGAGAGAGUACUAUUUUGGGUUGUCCCAUGUUAAAUGUCCACUUUCUUUUAAUAACCAAAUUUGUACACAUUUUUUUCUAUUAUACCUGUAGUAUUAAAUAUCUCAUACUUUUCUUAUUUUAAUUCUCUCUUCAUAUUUAAUAACAUUAGUAUAGAUAAUUUUAUCAUUUUAUUUCUCUUCUUAAUAUGCGUAAAAAAUCCAUUAGAAUUUUUAACACAGGCAAUAUUACCAAACCCACCACCGAAAAGCAGGUGGCGAAAGUAGACGCACAUUUAAGACCCUUAACUUAAGGUAUCUCCUCAACUACCUACUUAUUACCUAUACCUAUACCUAUAUCUAUACCUAUACCCAUUUAAUGACAUGACAAUUUAAUUUAAUUUAAUUUAUAGCUCUCCCCACUCCCCUUGGCCUUGGGCACCUUCCCUUCCUUGUUUACUCCGGUACCCACCCUCGGUCAUUCUCAUUGAGGUUUAGUUUAGGUGUGCAAAUUUCCUUUCUACCCCCCAUGACAUACACACAAAUGCCAAAAAAAGAGUUGUUAUUACUCUUCCUGUAAUCCAAGUUUCAAUUGUCAUGGCUAACACUAUAAAAUGAGCAAACAGUUCGGACUUAAUUCGUACUCGUUCGAUUAAAAGUUCAAUUCGAGCUCGACUCGAAAUAUAAAUGACUCAAAUAUGAUCACAUUUUAAAGUUCGAUAAAUUACUCGAACCUCCUCAAAUUAUAAUUUUUUAUUGAUACUCGGAUCAUAUUCGUUGGAAAAAUUCAAACUGCUUGGGCUCGAUUCGUAAUUGUGCUCGACUCGGUAGCUAAAUGAGCCUCAAUCAAACCUUAUUUUAUACUCGAUAAAUUUUGUAAAUCAAAUCUGAACAACUCAAUACUCGAAUCGACUUGAUUGGUUAAUACCCUUAGUCAUGGCCCAAUUCAAAGUAAAUUCCCGUUAGAAUUAACGACAUAUCUGUCAUAUCAAAAGACUUGCAAAUACUAGAAUAUUUAUUUAUGAACAAAAAUCAAGACUACUCGGGUGGGAGCGGGAGCGGGAGUGGGGGUGGUGUAUAAUAAGUACUAUUAAUAUACUACUAGCCCAAGGGCGGGCUUCCAAGCAACAACACAAAAUGUGCACAUUUGUCUCUAUUAUCCUCAUCACCAUUUCCAUCUUCUCUUCUUUUUCUCAUGCUUCUACUGUUAAAGCCCCGCCUCCCUUCAAAAAGAUCUACGCAUUCGGAGACUCCUACACCGACACCGGAAACACACACUCGGCCACCGGCCCCUCCAGUNNNNNNNNNNNNNNNNNNNNNNNNNNNNNNNNNNNNNNNNNNNNNNNNNNNNNNNNNNNNNNNNNNNNNNNNNNNNNNNNNNNNNNNNNNNNNNNNNNNNUGGGGAUUAUGGGAAUGGUGCAAUGGCUGAACCUUCACUCAUCUUCUCAACUGUAAGACUCUUUCUAGAGUCAAAGACACAAUCAGGUGGCAGUAGUAAUCAGUAAUUACUUUGUAUUUAGUGCUAGAGGAGUUGUUGGUUUUUAUUUUGUUCCAAAUGGACUGUUUGUUUGUUUGUUUUUUUCUUCUUCUUUCUUUGUUUUUAUGGAGGUUGUUUUAAGGAUUGUGAGAAUUGAAUUUAUGUUGUUAAUCCUAGUUUGUGAUUUUGGCUACCACUUAAUUCGUUUGUUUAAUCUACACACACUUAUCCUUCAUUCAGCUUGAUGGAACUUUAUUGAAACAAGUUUGAUACUCCAUGUGAGGCACGGCUAGUUUAUAUGUUUUUUUAAUAAAUAUUUGAUAAUUUUAUAUUGACAUAUAUUUAUCAUUUUGAAUCAGCAUAU
RNAcentral lists this long non-coding RNA (3989 nucleotides) under Panax ginseng (ginseng). RNAcentral's name for it is "long non-coding RNA (PGIN_LNC007631)". Lineage: Eukaryota; Viridiplantae; Streptophyta; Magnoliopsida; Apiales; Araliaceae. The record is from RNAcentral.